CUGAAUGUGGCUGGCACAUGAACUCGAUGUGCUGACAGCAAUUUGUACUCCGAUUAAAAUAGGGGGGAAAAAAGGAAAGAGAGUGCACAGCAGUAACAAAAAUGAAAUGCAAGAACCCCUAAACCAUGCAAUUUGUAUUUUAGGAAGCAAAACUGAGAAAGAGGCUCCAUAACUUAAAAAACAAAAAACAAAAAGCUGUAAAUGCUCCAGCCUAAAGACAUUAGCUCUGGAUGGGAGCAAUGAGUAUGCUGUGGAGAAUGAGAGCAUUUUCUCACUUCUGGAGAAUGGAGUUUCAAAUGAGCAAAGGGCAAAUAAACUUGUGGUGUUGGAUUGGAACUGGAACUGCAACUGCCAAAUCUUGCUGUUGUCCAGGCUGAAGCACAAUGGCACAAUCACGGCUCUCUGCUGUAGCAUUCAUCUCCAGAGCUCAAGUGAUUCUUCCACCUCAGCCUCCCAAGUAGCUGGGACUACAGGGACGUGACACCACACUUGACUAAUUCUCUUGAUGCUUUUUAGUAGAGAUGGGGCCUCACUAUGCUGUCCUGGCUGGUCUCGAAUUCCUAAGCUCAAGAGAUCCUCCUGCCUCGGCCUCCCAAAGUGCUGGAAUUACAGGCAUGAGCCACUGUGCCCAGCUAAGACUAUCUUUGAGAUAUAUUCAAUACUUUUUUUUUGAGACAGAGUCUUGCUUUGUCAUCCAGGCUGGAGUGCAGUAGCACCAUCUCGACUCACUGCAACCCCUGCCUCCCGGGUUCAAG
This 755-nucleotide long non-coding RNA is filed under the name Homo sapiens (human). RNAcentral's name for it is "HSALNT0105492". Lineage: Eukaryota; Metazoa; Chordata; Mammalia; Primates; Hominidae. The record is from RNAcentral.